AUGGUGGCACAGUUACAAUAUAACUGUAACUGUUCUACUGUCCUUUCCCCUGCUGAAAGCACUUGAUUCAUUACUAGUUUUGCCUAGCUCUACCAUAGUCAGACAGAGACACUUGGUUUCAAACAU
Molecule: small nucleolar RNA, 126 nt
Filed under: Meriones unguiculatus (Mongolian gerbil)
Lineage: Eukaryota; Metazoa; Chordata; Mammalia; Rodentia; Muridae
Description: Small nucleolar RNA SNORA63 (ENSMUGG00000000862.1)
Source: RNAcentral